RNAcentral lists this ribosomal RNA (253 nucleotides) under uncultured bacterium. RNAcentral's name for it is "partial 16S ribosomal RNA". It matches the Rfam family "Bacterial small subunit ribosomal RNA", at positions 524 to 776 of the family's 1533-position model. The record is from RNAcentral.
UACGGAGGGGGCUAGCGUUGUUCGGAAUUACUGGGCGUAAAGCGUGCGCAGGCGGUGAUGUAAGACAGUUGUGAAAUCCCCGGGCUCAACCUGGGAACUGCAUCUGUGACUGCAUUGCUGGAGUGCGGCAGAGGGGGAUGGAAUUCCGCGUGUAGCAGUGAAAUGCGUAGAUAUGCGGAGGAACACCGAUGGCGAAGGCAAUCCCCUGGGCCUGCACUGACGCUCAUGCACGAAAGCGUGGGGAGCAAACAGG